UACGUAGGGGGCAAGCGUUGUCCGGAAUUAUUGGGCGUAAAGAGCGUGUAGGCGGCCUGGGAGGUCCGUUGUGAAAACUCGAGGCUCAACCUCGAGACGCCGAUGGAAACCCCCUGGCUAGAGUCCGGAAGAGGAGAGUGGAAUUCCUGGUGUAGCGGUGAAAUGCGCAGAUAUCAGGAAGAACACCCGUGGCUAAGGCGGCUCUCUAGUACGGUACUGACGCUGAGUCGCGAAAGCGUGGGGAGCGAACAGG
This 253-nucleotide ribosomal RNA is filed under the name uncultured bacterium. RNAcentral's name for it is "partial 16S ribosomal RNA". It matches the Rfam family "Bacterial small subunit ribosomal RNA", at positions 524 to 776 of the family's 1533-position model. The record is from RNAcentral.